UUAAGCGACUAAGCGUACACGGUGGAUGCCCUGGCAGUCAGAGGCGAUGAAGGACGUGCUAAUCUGCGAUAAGCGUCGGUAAGGUGAUAUGAACCGUUAUAACCGGCGAUUUCCGAAUGGGGAAACCCAGUGUGUUUCGACACACUAUCAUUAACUGAAUCCAUAGGUUAAUGAGGCGAACCGGGGGAACUGAAACAUCUAAGUACCCCGAGGAAAAGAAAUCAACCGAGAUUCCCCCAGUAGCGGCGAGCGAACGGGGAGCAGCCCAGAGCCUGAAUCAGUGUGUGUGUUAGUGGAAGCGUCUGGAAAGGCGCGCGAUACAGGGUGACAGCCCCGUACACAAAAAUGCACAUGCUGUGAGCUCGAUGAGUAGGGCGGGACACGUGGUAUCCUGUCUGAAUAUGGGGGGACCAUCCUCCAAGGCUAAAUACUCCUGACUGACCGAUAGUGAACCAGUACCGUGAGGGAAAGGCGAAAAGAACCCCGGCGAGGGGAGUGAAAAAGAACCUGAAACCGUGUACGUACAAGCAGUGGGAGCACGCUUAGGCGUGUGACUGCGUACCUUUUGUAUAAUGGGUCAGCGACUUAUAUUCUGUAGCAAGGUUAACCGAAUAGGGGAGCCGAAGGGAAACCGAGUCUUAACUGGGCGUUAAGUUGCAGGGUAUAGACCCGAAACCCGGUGAUCUAGCCAUGGGCAGGUUGAAGGUUGGGUAACACUAACUGGAGGACCGAACCGACUAAUGUUGAAAAAUUAGCGGAUGACUUGUGGCUGGGGGUGAAAGGCCAAUCAAACCGGGAGAUAGCUGGUUCUCCCCGAAAGCUAUUUAGGUAGCGCCUCGUGAAUUCAUCUCCGGGGGUAGAGCACUGUUUCGGCAAGGGGGUCAUCCCGACUUACCAACCCGAUGCAAACUGCGAAUACCGGAGAAUGUUAUCACGGGAGACACACGGCGGGUGCUAACGUCCGUCGUGAAGAGGGAAACAACCCAGACCGCCAGCUAAGGUCCCAAAGUCAUGGUUAAGUGGGAAACGAUGUGGGAAGGCCCAGACAGCCAGGAUGUUGGCUUAGAAGCAGCCAUCAUUUAAAGAAAGCGUAAUAGCUCACUGGUCGAGUCGGCCUGCGCGGAAGAUGUAACGGGGCUAAACCAUGCACCGAAGCUGCGGCAGCGACACUAUGUGUUGUUGGGUAGGGGAGCGUUCUGUAAGCCUGUGAAGGUGUACUGUGAGGUAUGCUGGAGGUAUCAGAAGUGCGAAUGCUGACAUAAGUAACGAUAAAGCGGGUGAAAAGCCCGCUCGCCGGAAGACCAAGGGUUCCUGUCCAACGUUAAUCGGGGCAGGGUGAGUCGACCCCUAAGGCGAGGCCGAAAGGCGUAGUCGAUGGGAAACAGGUUAAUAUUCCUGUACUUGGUGUUACUGCGAAGGGGGGACGGAGAAGGCUAUGUUGGCCGGGCGACGGUUGUCCCGGUUUAAGCGUGUAGGCUGGUUUUCCAGGCAAAUCCGGAAAAUCAAGGCUGAGGCGUGAUGACGAGGCACUACGGUGCUGAAGCAACAAAUGCCCUGCUUCCAGGAAAAGCCUCUAAGCAUCAGGUAACAUCAAAUCGUACCCCAAACCGACACAGGUGGUCAGGUAGAGAAUACCAAGGCGCUUGAGAGAACUCGGGUGAAGGAACUAGGCAAAAUGGUGCCGUAACUUCGGGAGAAGGCACGCUGAUAUGUAGGUGAAGUCCCUCGCGGAUGGAGCUGAAAUCAGUCGAAGAUACCAGCUGGCUGCAACUGUUUAUUAAAAACACAGCACUGUGCAAACACGAAAGUGGACGUAUACGGUGUGACGCCUGCCCGGUGCCGGAAGGUUAAUUGAUGGGGUUAGCCGCAAGGCGAAGCUCUUGAUCGAAGCCCCGGUAAACGGCGGCCGUAACUAUAACGGUCCUAAGGUAGCGAAAUUCCUUGUCGGGUAAGUUCCGACCUGCACGAAUGGCGUAAUGAUGGCCAGGCUGUCUCCACCCGAGACUCAGUGAAAUUGAACUCGCUGUGAAGAUGCAGUGUACCCGCGGCAAGACGGAAAGACCCCGUGAACCUUUACUAUAGCUUGACACUGAACAUUGAGCCUUGAUGUGUAGGAUAGGUGGGAGGCUUUGAAGUGUGGACGCCAGUCUGCAUGGAGCCGACCUUGAAAUACCACCCUUUAAUGUUUGAUGUUCUAACGUUGACCCGUAAUCCGGGUUGCGGACAGUGUCUGGUGGGUAGUUUGACUGGGGCGGUCUCCUCCUAAAGAGUAACGGAGGAGCACGAAGGUUGGCUAAUCCUGGUCGGACAUCAGGAGGUUAGUGCAAUGGCAUAAGCCAGCUUGACUGCGAGCGUGACGGCGCGAGCAGGUGCGAAAGCAGGUCAUAGUGAUCCGGUGGUUCUGAAUGGAAGGGCCAUCGCUCAACGGAUAAAAGGUACUCCGGGGAUAACAGGCUGAUACCGCCCAAGAGUUCAUAUCGACGGCGGUGUUUGGCACCUCGAUGUCGGCUCAUCACAUCCUGGGGCUGAAGUAGGUCCCAAGGGUAUGGCUGUUCGCCAUUUAAAGUGGUACGCGAGCUGGUUUAGAACGUCGUGAGACAGUUCGGUCCCUAUCUGCCGUGGGCGCUGGAGAACUGAGGGGGGCUGCUCCUAGUACGAGAGGACCGGAGUGGACGCAUCACUGGUGUUCGGGUUGUCAUGCCAAUGGCACUGCCCGGUAGCUAAAUGCGGAAGAGAUAAGUGCUGAAAGCAUCUAAGCACGAAACUUGCCCCGAGAUGAGUUCUCCCUGACUCCUUGAGAGUCCUGAAGGAACGUUGAAGACGACGACGUUGAUAGGCCGGGUGUGUAAGCGCAGCGAUGCGUUGAGCUAACCGGUACUAAUGAACCGUGAGGCUUAACCUU
RNAcentral lists this ribosomal RNA (2902 nucleotides) under Escherichia coli. RNAcentral describes it as "bacterial LSU rRNA". It matches the Rfam family "Bacterial large subunit ribosomal RNA". Lineage: Bacteria; Pseudomonadati; Pseudomonadota; Gammaproteobacteria; Enterobacterales; Enterobacteriaceae. The record is from RNAcentral.